UGGGGAAUUUUGGACAAUGGGCGAAAGCCUGAUCCAGCAAUGCCGCGUGUGUGAAGAAGGCCUUCGGGUUGUAAAGCACUUUUGUCCGGAAAGAAAUCCUUGGCUCUAAUACAGUCGGGGGAUGACGGUACCGGAAGAAUAAGCACCGGCUAACUACGUGCCAGCAGCCGCGGUAAUACGUAGGGUGCAAGCGUUAAUCGGAAUUACUGGGCGUAAAGCGUGCGCAGGCGGUUUGCUAAGACCGAUGUGAAAUCCCCGGGCUCAACCUGGGAACUGCAUUGGUGACUGGCAGGCUAGAGUAUGGCAGAGGGGGGUAGAAUUCCACGUGUAGCAGUGAAAUGCGUAGAGAUGUGGAGGAAUACCGAUGGCGAAGGCAGCCCCCUGGCAAGUACUGACGCUCAUGCACGAAAAGCGUGGGGAGCAAACAGGAUUAGAUACCCUGGUAGUCCACGCCCUAAAACGAUGUCAACUAGUUGUUGGGGAUUCAUUUCCUUAGUAACGUAGCUAACGCGUGAAGUUGACCGCCUGGGGAGUACGGUCGCAAGAUUAAAAACUUAAAGGAAUUGAC
RNAcentral lists this ribosomal RNA (568 nucleotides) under uncultured bacterium. RNAcentral describes it as "partial 16S ribosomal RNA". It matches the Rfam family "Bacterial small subunit ribosomal RNA", at positions 355 to 914 of the family's 1533-position model. The record is from RNAcentral.